UGCAUUUGAAGCCCAUGAGGAUGAGAACCUCCGGGGGCGGGGAAGUUCGACUCGAGCGAAGCGAGAGAACGUUGCGCCAGCAACGGCCCGCAGGGCGAGCCACGAAGUGGCGAGUAAUCCUCUAUCACCGACCA
This 134-nucleotide small RNA is filed under the name Escherichia coli. Its description in RNAcentral is "RtT sRNA". It matches the Rfam family "RtT RNA". Rfam says of the family: This family represents a bacterial cis-regulatory element known as RtT RNA. The exact function of RtT is unknown although it is thought that it may be involved in changing the cellular response in relation to amino acid starvation. The record is from RNAcentral. Lineage: Bacteria; Pseudomonadati; Pseudomonadota; Gammaproteobacteria; Enterobacterales; Enterobacteriaceae.